Molecule: long non-coding RNA, 2084 nt
Organism: Gallus gallus (chicken)
Lineage: Eukaryota; Metazoa; Chordata; Aves; Galliformes; Phasianidae
Source: Ensembl
AUUUUUUUUUUUUAAUUUUUUUUUUUAACUGAGGGGGGGGGGGGGGGGGGGGAAGAAAAGGGAAUUCAGGGUUUUGAGAGAAAACUAUGCGUCUUUGCAUGGUCUCGUGUUUGUGGAGGCAGGGGCUAGAGAGGACAGGACUCGUGUCCCGGCUGUGUUUUCCCUACGGAGCUACUAAGGUACAUCUAUUUUUGUCGCGCUUUGUACUUUUAACUCUGAAGGCAAUCUAGCGGGAACCUGAUUUGUUUACAGAAGCACCUUCCCUGUGAAUUCUUCAGGAAAUGUACAAUCUGUUUCGUUGCCCUUCGCUGUGUUUGCUCAGAGACCUUGUCCCCGCCAACCCUUCCUCCCCCUUGAGGCCUUCCUCCUCUCUGAGGCCGGAGCAGGGCCCAUGUUACAGGCCGGGGCCUGUGUCGGCUGGCGGAGCUGGAAGGUGCUGGCCAAAGCAUUGCGCUGCUGGCAGCUCGGGGAAGGUUCCUAGCGGAAGCACGGGGAAGGCUGGGGAAAUAGGAUCAGCUGGUAAUGUGGUAUGUCUUCUCUCGCCGCAACUAUUUGCAGCAAAUGAAUGAGUCAUCCGCUCUUCUGAGGGGGCUGAGAAUCUAUAGCGGUGGCACAACCACAGAAUGCUGAUAGUACAUGACACAAUGUAUUUUUCCAUCGAAGGACCCUUUUUCCAUUGCUUAGAAGAAAGUUUUGAUUUACUUCCUCUCCGCUCAAAUUUUAUUGUGUUUUUAUGAUUGACAGCAGCUAGUUACCUUAUAGUGCAUGCAGCAGGGCUCUGAGCUAAACUGCACCUUUCAGCGUUUGCAUUUUGAUACAUAUAUAAUAUGUUUUUAUAUAUAUUAUAUAGGUAUUCUUGAUCUGUUUUGCAUAUGUUAAUGAGCGAGUGGUGGAACUGGUGGAGCUUUGUUGUAUCUGUGACGGGAGUUUAAAAGGUGCCCGGUGUUAGAGGUGGGAAGAAGGCGUGAGCUCAGGCCAAGAGUUAAAUAAGAACCCCUUUUCAAAGCUGGUUUAUUCCUGCGGUUUGCUCACCUUCCUCUCCAUAAAGUAUGACUUUUUUGAACUGUUUCCCCUCUCCCGCCCUUCGCUACACUGAUACUUUUAAAGUUAACAACCGCAUUCUUGCUUUGUAGACUUCAUUUUUCUCAUCCAGUCAACUGCAAGGCUACAACUUGCUGCAAGAGACAGUGCCCCUUUUAAAGAGCUGAACUGAUUAAAAACAUUGACCUGAUUACAGUAAAACUGUUUGUUCCGCAGCUGAAUUUAUUGCUAACCAAGAGGGAGCUAAACUUGGUUCAGUGGAGCUAUCGUGAAACAACUGAGAGCUUUGAAAUUGGAUUUUUUUUCAUAGAUGUAGCUGUCCCCCCAGUGCAAGAACACUUCUUCCAAAAAUAGAAGGGCAGUUAGAAGACCAAAAAGAUGAUAUUUUUCUAGUUUUAUUGCACUUAAAAUAUUUAUGUUUUGUCUUGCACAAAGGCCUUUACACAGAUCUUCAAAACACCUCUUACUCAGUGCUUGGUUUGCAUUGUGUCAGAAGCUCCUACCAGUUCAAAAAAGCUUUUUUUUUUUUUUUUUUUAAUUGAGAAAAUGAAGUGUGUUAGAUAAAACUGCACAGAAGAGGAAAAACUGUAAUUGCAUAUUCAGCUCCUAUUUGAAUAUAUUCUUUUGUAUGGUUUUCUUUAUGCAGAGAGUUUCCCUUGCGAGAAAGGAAAUCAGUGUACUGUUUUGCUGUUGUAAUAAUGGUUUGCUAAGAAAAUAAAUAGUAAAAAAAAGAAAAGGAAAAAAAAAAGCCUGCAAAUUUCAAGACAGCUUGGCUGAAGCACUGCAGGCUCCUGCAGUCUGUAGGAGUCUGUGCAGAUUUGCUUUCCCUCAGAUUUCCUUACAACUGUUGCCUUCUGCAAGGCAUCCUGUUGCAGCAAACUGCUCCUUGGAUUGCUCUUUUGGAACAUUUUGACUAUAGGCGUUGUCAGAGAAAGAAAAAGAGCUGAUGGAAAACAGACUCUAGAGGGAACAGAUUGUGAAUUUUGUUUACAGCAUCCAAUAUUUGGAUUUUUUUUGUAAAUAAAAAGAAGUUAUUUUUUUCU